This 460-nucleotide ribosomal RNA is filed under the name uncultured bacterium. RNAcentral describes it as "partial 16S ribosomal RNA". It matches the Rfam family "Bacterial small subunit ribosomal RNA", at positions 338 to 795 of the family's 1533-position model. The record is from RNAcentral.
CCUACGGGUGGCUGCAGUGAGGAAUAUUGGUCAAUGGGCGCGAGCCUGAACCAGCCAAGUAGCGUGAAGGAUGACUGCCCUACGGGUUGUACACUUCUUUUAUAAAGGAAUAAAGUGAUGCACGUGUGCCUUUUUGUAUGUACUUUAUGAAUAAGGAUCGGCUAACUCCGUGCCAGCAGCCUCGGUAAUACGGAGGAUCCGAGCGUUAUCCGGAUUUAUUGGGUUUAAAGGGAGCGUAGAUGGUUUCUUAAGUCAGUUGUGAAAGUUUGCGGCUCAACCGUAAAAUUGCAAUUGAUACUGGCAGUCUUGAGUACAGUUGAGGGAGGCGGAAUUCGUGGUGUAGCGGUGAAAUGCUUAGAUAGCACGAAGAACUCCGAUUGCGAAGGCAGCUUACUAAACUGCCACUGACAUUGAUGCUCGAAAGUGUGGGUAUCAAACAGGAUUAGAUACCCUUGUAGUC